Molecule: long non-coding RNA, 2058 nt
Filed under: Zonotrichia albicollis (white-throated sparrow)
Lineage: Eukaryota; Metazoa; Chordata; Aves; Passeriformes; Passerellidae
Description: lncRNA (ENSZALG00000002850.1)
Source: RNAcentral
GAGCAUCGGUGACCUGCAGGUUCAGCCAGCCAAGCCCAUGGAGCUCAGAAAUGUCCUCUGCUUGCCUUGAUGACCUGUCCAACAGCCAGAACAGCUUCUCUUCAGUAAACAAAUGCUUUCACAUAACAGGUGCCCUGCCACUCACUGAUGCCCUGCUUGCUCCUGCCUGGACAACUCCUCAUAGCCAGCUCCAGCGGGAAAAGGAGCAGAAGAUUCUUGAGAAACCAGAAAUACAGAUGAAUGUUGAAUAUUGCAACAUAAACUCAGGUCUUGGGGUUGGUUUUUUUUGUCAAUUGCUUCCUUUCUGUAAGAUGGGUAUCUCCAUUCUGAAUUGUUUGUGUCUAUCAUUCUUCAAAGUAAAUCCCAUUUACUUUUGUCAAUCACUCUCUGUAGGCUCACUGCCUGACUGCCACCCACCUCAUGGCACACCUUGGCAGCCCGACACUCCUUGGAUACAUUGCACAAUUGUCAUUGGCAUUCAGAACUCCUGCUCUAAUCCCCUUUUCUCCAUACCUCACUUUCCUCAGGCCUCUGUGUCUUCUGCCUUCUGCUACACAGCAUGUGUGGACUUGCUGGCCCGCACACAUCCUGCACUGCACUCCGCUCCCCACACCAUCCCAGCCUUUGGACGGCUGCUCUUGGUUUCUCUAGCUCCUGCCUGCUUGUUUCUCAGUCCUCUUCCUGGGGCUCCCCGAUCACCCCAUGAUCCAUCCAUCCAUCCAUCCAUCCAUCCAUCCAUCCAUCCGUCCAUCCGUCCAUCCGUCCAUCUGUCCAUCCGUCCCUCCGUCCAUCCGUCCAUCCGUCCAUCCGUCCAUCUGUCCCUCCGUCCCUCCGUCCCUCCGUCCCUCCGUCCCUCCAUGCCUCCAUGCCUCCAUCCCUCCCGUGCCAGUGUCCUGCUCUCCCUGCCACCCUGCACAAAGCCAUGGGUGUCCUUAUCUGCAGCUGCAGUUUCCUCCACAGACCCUUCCUACCCUGAUGCCACCCAGCCCCCAGAUCCCCUUGGCGUUUGGCACUCAGCUGCAGCUCGGGUUUCUGCAUAUUUCCCAUCACGGAAUUAAGCUCUUCAGAGGCAACACAUGCCAAUUUUUUUUCUCACUAACAGAGGGCUCCCUCUGUAUGUUUGAUCCUCAUCAGAUAGGACUAUAAAUACCUGAAAUACUGGACAAACUUGUGUGACCAUUUUUGGAUUACAUAGCCUACAGGAUUAGACUUCUUGCAAGAUUUCCAGAACUUCCUGGUUGGCUGAGUGUAAAUAUUUUAAAAAUAACAUCUUACAGAAUUUCAGUGUUUCUGUUUCCUCUAUUGGUCAAAAACAGGAAAUGCAGAAGCAUGUGAAUCUAAGAUUUUAGUAAACUUCAGAAAAAUAGGUUCAGAGAGAGAGCACUUUAAAAAAUAGAGGACCGGAUUAGAAGGCAGUUUCUAUUUUCACCUAAACCAAUCCAUCUGCUUUAACCAUCCUUCAAAAACAACACUGACCAGAGUAUUUUGCAUAUUUGUAAUGUCUGACGGAGAUAAUAAGCAGAGAGCAGGCUGGUUCCAAAAUAGGCUCGUGCUCCUUGUCUAACCUGGUGAGUGAACAUCCUGACAUGCAAUUAUUUGUUUUUUCUCUCCUUACUAGUGCAAAACAUUUGAGUAGCCAGGUUUUAAUUUAUUUCCAUUUACAUUGUUACCUAAGGACAUUUCUUAUCUGAGAAAAGCAUUACUGUUCGAAAGAGCAUUUUCCCCCUUUUAAUAGCUGCCUGUCCAGUGCUAGUUACCUUAUUGCAUAUAUAAAGUUAGAGCUGUUUCUUCUCAUGUGUAUCACUGAUCAGCACUGAGUUUCAUCUGCCAUUUUAUUGCCACUUCCACAGCUCUAAAAAAUGAGCACCUAACCUUUACCUUAUCAUUUAUUCCUCUGAAAAUGUAUUCUGCAAGUCUACCAGUUAACUCUUUCCCCUCACAGCAGCAUCAUACUACAAGCUCAAGGACAGCACAACUAUGGAAGACAUUUACUUGCAAUAUUUUAUCCUGUUUUUCCAAUUAGCCUAUUGGACUUUAAUUUUUUUAAGCUUUAGAAUU